RNAcentral lists this long non-coding RNA (457 nucleotides) under Homo sapiens (human). RNAcentral describes it as "non-protein coding TTC39C-AS1:6". Lineage: Eukaryota; Metazoa; Chordata; Mammalia; Primates; Hominidae. The record is from RNAcentral.
AGAGCCAUGCGAGGCGCGAGGAGCAGGCAGCCGGAGGGCUCCGUGUCACAAAGGCUGCCGGGGCAGCACGCGAGCCAGAGUCACGACAAGCCCGGGUCCCAGGCUCGCUGCUGCCUCAAAUCUCAUCCGGUCCCAAAGCCAGCUGCCCUGCAGAGAGGAGCCUACCGGCACCGGGCACGUCUGUGGGAGGGCGAGGCUGGGAGAAAGUGAGAGGGGGACUGCGGGCGCGCGGGGCGGGCGCGCGGCGGGUCCCGGGAGGGAAAGGACAACGGAGCCGGGGGUAGGGGGUGGACGAGGAGAUGUGGCAGAGGCGCAUUCCCUCUGGCUGAUCUUGCCAGGGAGGAGACCUGAGGACCGGAAUCGGUGACCGACAGGAGGGGGAGGGGGCUCCCGGGGGCCGCAGGUCGAGGCGCGUGAGCCGGACACGAGGUGCGCGCUGCAGGGUUGGGGAAUCGGG